UACAGAGGGUGCGAGCGUUAAUCGGAUUUACUGGGCGUAAAGGGUGCGUAGGUGGUUGAGCAAGUAAGAUGUGAAAGCCCCGGGCUUAACCUGGGAAGUGCAUCUUAAACUGCUUAGCUAGAGUAUGGUAGAGGGUAGUGGAAUUUCCGGUGUAGCGGUGAAAUGCGUAGAGAUCGGAAGGAACGCCAGUGGUGAAGACGACUACCUGGACCAAUACUGACACUGAGGCACGAAAGCGUGGGGAUCAAACAGG
This 253-nucleotide ribosomal RNA is filed under the name uncultured Gammaproteobacteria bacterium. RNAcentral describes it as "partial 16S ribosomal RNA". It matches the Rfam family "Bacterial small subunit ribosomal RNA", at positions 524 to 776 of the family's 1533-position model. The record is from RNAcentral. Lineage: Bacteria; Pseudomonadati; Pseudomonadota; Gammaproteobacteria.